GAUGAACGCUGGCGGCGUGCCUAAUGCAUGCAAGCCGAACGGCCUGAUUUAUCAGGCAGUGGCGGACGGGUGAGUAACGCGUAAGAACUUACCCUAAAGUGGGGGACAACCUCGAGAAAUCGGGGCUAAUACCGCAUACGCUCCGCAAGGAGGAAAGCUACGGCGCUUUAGGAUGGGCUUGCGUCCGAUUAGCUAGUUGGUGAGGUAAUGGCUCACCAAGGCUUAGAUCGGUAGCUGGUCUGAGAGGAUGAUCAGCCACACUGGAAUUGAGAUACGGUCCAGACUCCUACGGGAGGCAG
This 299-nucleotide ribosomal RNA is filed under the name uncultured Chloroflexota bacterium. RNAcentral describes it as "uncultured Chloroflexi bacterium partial 16S ribosomal RNA". It matches the Rfam family "Bacterial small subunit ribosomal RNA", at positions 28 to 351 of the family's 1533-position model. The record is from RNAcentral. Lineage: Bacteria; Bacillati; Chloroflexota.